RNAcentral lists this ribosomal RNA (498 nucleotides) under uncultured bacterium. RNAcentral describes it as "partial 16S ribosomal RNA". It matches the Rfam family "Bacterial small subunit ribosomal RNA", at positions 29 to 507 of the family's 1533-position model. The record is from RNAcentral.
ACGAACGCUGGCGGCGUGCCUAAUACAUGCAAGUCGAGCGAAGUUUUUCUGGUGCUUGCACCGGAAAAACUUAGCGGCGAACGGGUGAGUAACACGUAAAGGACCUGCCUCAUAGACUGGGACAACUAUUGGAAACGAUAGCUAAUACCGGAUAAUAGCAUUAACUGCAUGGUUGAUGUUUAAAAGUUGGUUUUGCUAACACUAUGAGAUGGCUUUGCGGUGCAUUAGCUAGUUGGUGGGGUAAAGGCCUACCAAGGCGACGAUGCAUAGCCGACCUGAGAGGGUGAUCGGCCACACUGGGACUGAGACACGGCCCAGACUCCUACGGGAGGCAGCAGUAGGGAAUCUUCCGCAAUGGGCGAAAGCCUGACGGAGCAACGCCGCGUGAGUGAAGAAGGAUUUCGGUUCGUAAAGCUCUGUUGUUAGGGAAGAAUGAUUGUGUAGUAACUAUACACAGUAGAGACGGUACCUAACCAGAAAGCCACGGCUAACUACGUG